Small nuclear RNA from Heterocephalus glaber (naked mole-rat), 131 nucleotides. Its record names the gene U4. It matches the Rfam family "U4 spliceosomal RNA". From Rfam's summary of the family: U4 small nuclear RNA (U4 snRNA) is a component of the major U2-dependent spliceosome. The structure of U4 snRNA from yeast and human has been reported. U4 snRNA presents a k-turn RNA motif in the 5p-SL related to recognition of Snu13 protein. Lineage: Eukaryota; Metazoa; Chordata; Mammalia; Rodentia; Bathyergidae. The record is from Ensembl.
AGCUUUGCGCAGUGGCAGUAUCAUAGCUAGUGAGGUUUAUCUGAGAUGUGAUUACUAAUAAUUGAAAAAAUCCUAUAACCACAGUAUAAUUACAUCUAACUAAUCCAUGUUUUUAUAAUUAUGAUUACAUU